This 27-nucleotide small RNA is filed under the name Bombyx mori (domestic silkworm). RNAcentral's name for it is "ovarian small RNA-24077". Lineage: Eukaryota; Metazoa; Arthropoda; Insecta; Lepidoptera; Bombycidae. The record is from RNAcentral.
UAUUAAGGUUGUAUUGUCAAAUACUAU